Molecule: RNA transcript, 1181 nt
Organism: Zalophus californianus (California sea lion)
Lineage: Eukaryota; Metazoa; Chordata; Mammalia; Carnivora; Otariidae
Gene: MED10
Gene name: mediator complex subunit 10
Exons: 5
Source: RefSeq, a predicted model, not a curated record
UGGCGGCGGGCCCGGGCGGAAGCAGGAAGCGGCGGAGCAGGACCACGCUCGGGUAGGUGUUUGCUGCAGGGCCAUGGCUGAGAAGUUCGACCACCUGGAGGAGCACCUGGAGAAGUUUGUGGAGAACAUCCGGCAGCUAGGCAUCAUUGUCAGUGACUUCCAGCCCAGCAGCCAGGCCGGGCUCAACCAGAAGCUGAAUUUUAUCGUUACUGGCUUACAGGAUAUUGAUAAGUGCAGGCAGCAGCUUCAUGACAUUACCGUGCCUUUAGAAGUUUUUGAAUACAUAGAUCAAGGACGAAACCCCCAGCUCUACACCAAAGAGUGCCUGGAGAGGGCUCUGGCCAAGAAUGAACAAGUCAAAGGCAAGAUUGACACAAUGAAGUGCUGCGUUUCAGUGUGACUUAGACGAAGAGCUUUUGAGACAAUACUUAGCUGCUCUUAAGAUCGGAUUCAAACACAUGUUAUGCUGUUAAAUAGGAUCAAGAAGCCGCAGCAUGUGGAGUAGACAGGUUUCCAGGUGCUCUGAAAGCUUUGAUCAGCUGUUUGCACACAAAAUUUAAAAGUCUGUUGAUUCAAGAACUUUCUAAAGUAUUUCCUGAAGACAUGGCUAAGUAUCGAAGCAUCCGAGGGGAGGACCACCCCCCUUCCUAACUUCAUCGUCCUGCCGCCUGAAGACCCUCCUGGUCUAGUGUGAGUCGCCGUGACCUUCAGGCAGGCUGUGACUGACAGUGGCACCCAUGUCCUCCAGCUGCCCUGUCCUUGUCCUCGGCCUUGAGGGCCAGCGGGGCCUGGAGGGCUUGCAGAGUUGUGCCCUGGCUGCCCCUCUGUCCCUGAUGUGCGUCUGUUCGGUCCGAAAGUUCUCAAACGGCCCGGAGUGCACGUCUUUGAGUGCGAUGCAUUUGAUUCUUCCUGGCAGAGUAGUCUUGAGAAUAUUAACUAUGCUAGGUACAUUAAGUUUUUAAAACUUCCUAAUGGUUUUCUUUUUAUGUACUGUUUCUUUUCCAUUUUAUUAUGGUGUCAAAGAAAGCUAAAAAAAGAAAAAAGAAAAAUUGGCUUAAUCUAAGAAGUACUUUAAGUUGGUGUCUUAUAUUUUCAAGUAUGAUGCAUAAAGAAUGUGUUCAGUGUAACUGUUUACAUGGAUUUCAAUUAGACAUAAGCAUACAAUAAAGCCUUUAAGUAUU